GCCCUGCACUCUGGGACAAGCCCUGGAAACGGGGUCUAAUACCGGAUACAACCACUAGGGGCAUCUCUUGGUGGUGGAAAGCUCCGGCGGUGCAGGAUGAGCCCGCGGCCUAUCAGCUAGUUGGUGAGGUAAUGGCUCACCAAGGCGACGACGGGUAGCCGGCCUGAGAGGGCGACCGGCCACACUGGGACUGAGACACGGCCCAGACUCCUACGGGAGGCAGCAGUGGGGAAUAUUGCACAAUGGGCGAAAGCCUGAUGCAGCGACGCCGCGUGAGGGAUGACGGCCUUCGGGUUGUAAACCUCUUUCAGCAGGGAAGAAGCGAAAGUGACGGUACCUGCAGAAGAAGCGCCGGCUAACUACGUGCCAGCAGCCGCGGUAAUACGUAGGGCGCGAGCGUUGUCCGGAAUUAUUGGGCGUAAAGAGCUCGUAGGCGGCUUGUCACGUCGGUUGUGAAAGCCCGGGGCUUAACCCCGGGUCUGCAGUCGAUACGGGCAGGCUAGAGUUCGGUAGGGGAGAUCGGAAUUCCUGGUGUAGCGGUGAAAUGCGCAGAUAUCAGGAGGAACACCGGUGGCGAAGGCGGAUCUCUGGGCCGAUACUGACGCUGAGGAGCGAAAGCGUGGGGAGCGAACAGGAUUAGAUACCCUGGUAGUCC
Molecule: ribosomal RNA, 655 nt
Filed under: Streptomyces sp. R1O49
Lineage: Bacteria; Bacillati; Actinomycetota; Actinomycetes; Kitasatosporales; Streptomycetaceae
Description: bacterial SSU rRNA
Rfam family: Bacterial small subunit ribosomal RNA
Source: RNAcentral